UGGGGAAUAUUGGACACUGGGCGCAAGCCUGAUCCAGCCAUGCCGCGUGAGUGAUGAAGGCCCUAGGGUUGUAAAGCUCUUUCGCCGGUGAAGAUAAUGACGGUAACCGGUAAAGAAGCACCGGCUAACUUCGUGCCAGGCGCGCCGGUAAUACGAAGGGGGCUAGCGUUGUUCGGAAUUACUGGGCGUAAAGCGCGCGUAGGCGGGUCAUUAAGUCAGGGGUGAAAUCCCGGGGCUCAACCUCGGAAUUGCCUCUGAUACUGGUGACCUCGAGUCCGAGAGAGGUGAGUGGAACUCCGAGUGUAGAGGUGAAAUUCGUAGAUAUUCGGAAGAACACCAGUGGCGAAGGCGGCUCACUGGCUCGGUACUGACGCUGAGGUGCGAAAGCGUGGGGAGCAAACAGGAUUAGAUACCCCUGUAGUCC
RNAcentral lists this ribosomal RNA (424 nucleotides) under uncultured prokaryote. RNAcentral's name for it is "bacterial SSU rRNA". It matches the Rfam family "Bacterial small subunit ribosomal RNA", at positions 355 to 796 of the family's 1533-position model. The record is from RNAcentral.